Molecule: ribosomal RNA, 473 nt
Filed under: uncultured bacterium
Lineage: Bacteria
Description: bacterial SSU rRNA
Rfam family: Bacterial small subunit ribosomal RNA
Source: RNAcentral
ACUCCUACGGGAGGCAGCAGUGGGGAAUAUUGCACAAUGGGCGCAAGCCUGAUGCAGCCAUGCCGCGUGUGUGAAGAAGGCCUUCGGGUUGUAAAGCACUUUCAGUCGUGAGGAAGGUAGUGUAGUUAAUAGCUGCAUUAUUUGACGUUAGCGACAGAAGAAGCACCGGCUAACUACGUGCCAGCAGCCGCGGUAAUACGUAGGGUGCAAGCGUUGUCCGGAAUUAUUGGGCGUAAAGAGCUCGUAGGCGGUUUGUCACGUCUGCUGUGAAAAUCCAAGGCUCAACCUUGGACUUGCAGUGGGUACGGGCAGGCUAGAGUGCGGUAGGGGAGAUGGGAAUUCCUGGUGUAGCGGUGGAAAUGCGCAGAUAUCAGGAGGAACACCAAUGGCGAAGGCACAUCUCUGGGCCGUAACUGACGCUGAGGAGCGAAAGCGUGGGGAGCGAACAGGAUUAGAUACCCUGGUAGGUCAGU